RNAcentral lists this ribosomal RNA (272 nucleotides) under uncultured bacterium. RNAcentral's name for it is "partial 16S ribosomal RNA". It matches the Rfam family "Bacterial small subunit ribosomal RNA", at positions 524 to 776 of the family's 1533-position model. The record is from RNAcentral.
UACGAAGGCCCCAAGCGUUAUCCGGAAUUACUGGGCGUAAAGCGCAAGUAGUCGGUCUUUAUAGUCUGAUGUUAAAUCUCGCGGCUUAACCGUGAGACCGCAUUAGAAACGUAAAACUCCGAGCAAUCGGAGGUGACUAGAGCGAGUCAGAGGCAAGCGGAACGUGUAGUGUAGCGGUGAAAUGCAUUGAUAUUACACGGAACACCAAAAGCGAAGGCAGCUUGCUGGGGCUCUGCUGACGAUCAGUUGCGAAAGCGUGGGCAUAAAAAAGG